Molecule: long non-coding RNA, 320 nt
Filed under: Nicotiana benthamiana
Lineage: Eukaryota; Viridiplantae; Streptophyta; Magnoliopsida; Solanales; Solanaceae
Description: long non-coding RNA (NBEN_LNC038322)
Source: RNAcentral
UGAGUAUCGUAUGUGUAGUACAUGAAUCAACUAAACAAAUAUUUUUACAGUUGGACGUUGAUCCAAGCUUGCUUUGUGAGAUAUCCAUACUUGCUUUCCCAUGGUUUGACAUACAAAAGAAAUACACGAACAUGAGAAUAAACAAAUUCAAUCGUUUUGUUUCACAUUUAAACAAUAUUUUCAAAAUCUGCUGAGGUUAGUCGAUUAACUUAGAUGAUAGUCGACUAUCUUGGGAAGCAAUCAUUAGGUUAGUCGACUAACUAAAUCAGAUAGUCGACUAUCUUGCCUUGCGGAAAAGUCCAGUUUUAAUGCGAAAUAUU